RNAcentral lists this long non-coding RNA (2938 nucleotides) under Lepisosteus oculatus (spotted gar). RNAcentral's name for it is "lncRNA (ENSLOCG00000021369.1)". Lineage: Eukaryota; Metazoa; Chordata; Actinopteri; Semionotiformes; Lepisosteidae. The record is from RNAcentral.
GUUUAUCUUACCACAGGACAACUAAUUAAACUUAAAAAGAAAUUCUAAGGCACCAAUCUCUUUCACAGAUCAAGGAAAUCCCAUGUGGAGAAAAAUACCCUAAAAUCUAAACUCUUGUGAGGUUUUGAAGCUGGGAUAUUCCACUACUGAACAUUAAAUUAGGUACUUUGGAAGCCUUGAAAUGAUACUUUGCUGAAAAAACAGUUUGACCUACAGGGAGAGAUGAAGCAGCUGAACAGCAAGGCUGUGGCCCUGAGGGAGGCUGGACUGCAGAACGCAACACUGGCAAGAAGAGAGCUUGGCUGCAGACAGGCAGCUGGCGAGCUGCUGCGGCCCGACUGCACAGACUCCCCCACCUCCAGCCCUCUUCACGCAUGUGUGCGGCUCCCAGUCUGAAGCAGUUGAAGCACACAGAGCCCUACACUCUUGUGACUUUCAAUUAACCAGCACACGGCACCCCUGGAGACAGUGGGCGGAAGAGCAGGGGGGAGUGCUGGAUAAGAAGGGGUGGUGGGAGUCUUUUCAGCCGCGGUCAGAAGGUAUUCAAGCCUGCACAGACUGCACUUCAGUGGCUAAGCCGUCGCACAUUGUUAAUUCGCUUCUUGUGCCUUCUCGAGUGAGGAGAAAAAUAAAGGCGUGAUUACAGGGGGCCGGGGCUGCUCGCUGGGCUCUGUCCCGUUCGCGGAGGGAGCCGCUGCCCGCUGUCUGCAUGCUCAAGCUGAGAGGGUGCAUGUCAGCUAAUUGCCGUCUCGGGCCCUGGAUCUUUAAUCUCCUCAGCUCUUAAACUGGACUCCCUCCUCACCUUCUGUUAGUUUUUAAUCCAUUAAAAGUUUUUUUAGGACUGAAAUUUAAAUAAUCCAUACUGUAAAACUCUGCUGUAACCCUUCCCUCUCAUGAAGGCACUAUAGAGUAGGUACUGUCUUCGGAAGCAACAACAAAUGAUUCAGCUGUGGAAGUAUGCAAAAUCUUGUCGUGCUAUGAUAUGACCCAUACUCCCCAGUUUCUCCAGCAGUCCAUACCUCUGCCUCUGCAGUGUAAACAUUAAGACUCCUACAGAAGUGUCCGUGUCACACAUUGUGUCAGUGAUGGCUGAAGUGUAUGAUUAUUUUUGUAGUUGGCGAUGUGUUACAAAUGUGUUACAAAUAUUUCGUGAUACAGUGGCUCAUUGUCAUAAUGUAAGGCACGGUAUUAGUUUCCUUUCCAUUUUGACAGGUUGCUUUGUUUUGGAGGUCAGGCAAUGAAAUUAAACUACACUCUGAAGGUCUUUUUACGGUUAUCUACAGUUCUCUGUUCAGAGUCAGACUUGAAAAGCUACCUCUGUACAACACAAGAACCGGCAGUUUUAUCUUUUAUCUGAACCUCAUCCCAGUUAUUUUUUAUAUCUCUUAUGCUUACAAAUAACCAAAGAGCCACCCUCAUCAGCUACUCCGUUUCAUUUCUUACUUGACUGCAAAAAACAUCCCUUUUCUAACAACCCCCCUAAACAUAAGUGUUUUACCUGAGCCCUAAUAGGACAAAGUGAGGAAGCUGCACUCUUUCUGGGUGACGAUUAUUCUGUCUACUAAUUCACAGCUCAUAUUAGUUAAUAGACAAUACAGAGAAAGGUUUGUUAAAAACCAAAGGUAUGAAGUUCCACAAGCCAAGUCCUAGAUUUUUAAAUUGAUAAUAGUGGCACAGGACCUUUAUAUUACAAACAAUUUUGUAUACAGCUUCAAAAACACACCUCCAGGCACACCUUCUGAACUAUAUAUAUAUGGAGUACUUUCACCAAACAAGCACUGCUGUUGGUUCUGGCAUUUCUAUAUCAAGGGAUGUUAUGUUAAAAUCUUGUUAUGCCCCAGUAAGCUCUUGUUUAGAAUUCUGUGUUUUACAAUUUUGGUCACUUUGAUUCCUGCUCUGUCCAGAGAAGAGCAACCAAAUGCUUUCCAGGAUUUAAAGGAAUGUCCUAAAACACUUUUUGUCUUGAACAGAAAAGAGAGUUAUUAGGGGACCUAAUACAUCCUGUAUAUUCAAAUACUCAAAGGCACUGACAGUCAGCCCAGAAGACUUGAUACAGAAUCAACAGCAUAAAAGAACCAGAGCUCCUAGCAGAAAACAUGUGGAUUUGCAUUUCAAUCUGGGAACUGAUGGUAUUUCUUUACACAAAGGGGCGUGGGAGUAUGGAACAAGGUAUCUGGCCAUGUGGGUGAAGCUGUCUUCUGAAAUCCUUAGAUCAAUACCUUGAUACUUGAACAACACCUUAGAUCAACUACCAAAUGGGACAGAUGGGCCAAAUUGCCUUCUCUUAUUUGGUAACAUUCAGAUAUUCCUGUAUGAAGUAUGAACCUAGUAAGCAGUUAUGAGUUACUAUUUUAUCGUUUUAAAUUCUUCCUCUUUUAACACCUGAAGAGUGCACAUCAUCGCUCACUGUUCAUCCUUCUCUUUCACAACAGCGACGAUGGAAGCUUAUGUUCUAUUUUAACAUCAAAAUGUAACCAAGCCCUGAUGUAUGGUCGUGUUUAGCAUCAGUGGAAUAUCCCUUAAGAAGGAAAAUCCAGUUAUGAGUAGUUAGGCAAAGCUGAACAGUCAAAUAUCAAACAUACCAGUUUCUUUCUAACCAGACUUGGCUGUGGUGUUACUAUGAAAAAAACACCAAAUCAACAAAAAGCCUAUAUACACAGAAAACACUAACCAUAGAAACAAACCGUUCCAUUGUUUGUGUUAGGACCAGGGUAAACAGAUUCUAUGCUCAAUUAAAGCAUAAUAUGAACCAUCGGUUUCUAUGUUGUAAUUAUUAAACUUUUUAUUAUGUGUAUAAAUUGCUAGGGCUUGUCUAAAAACCGGCUUAAUCACUGAUAAACACCCAACUGUCUCGCCUUUUAAAUUGAAAAGAAAUCACCAAACCUAAUUGAAUUUCCACUGUCUGCCAGAACUCGGGCUGGUGCCCUUUGCAUACCAU